CAGUAGCCGCGGGAAUACGAAGGGGGCUAGCGUUGUUCGGAAUUACUGGGCGUAAAGCGCACGUAGGCGGAUCGAUCAGUCAGGGGUGAAAUCCCGCAGCUCAACUGCGGAACUGCCUUUGAUACUGUCGGUCUAGAGUAUGGAAGAGGUGAGUGGAAUUCCGAGUGUAGAGGUGAAAUUCGUAGAUAUUCGGAGGAACACCAGUGGCGAAGGCGGCUCACUGGUCCAUUACUGACGCUGAGGUGCGAAAGCGUGGGGAGCAAACAGGAUUAGAUACCCCGGUAGUCCCUGUCUCUUAUAA
This 301-nucleotide ribosomal RNA is filed under the name uncultured bacterium. RNAcentral describes it as "partial 16S ribosomal RNA". It matches the Rfam family "Bacterial small subunit ribosomal RNA", at positions 509 to 809 of the family's 1533-position model. The record is from RNAcentral.